AGCACUGGCUGAGACACCUAAAUGGAACAGAGCCGCCGCUAAUGUUAUUAGUUACACCUGUGCUCUCCCUGCUCCCACCCAGACGAGGAGUAACUUUCUGAGUGAUUUGAGCCAACCAGUAAGAGAUUUAAUACGUACCUUGGUCUCAUUGGAUUUGACCAGGACUUUGCUGAUUUUGAAGUGCAGCACCUCAUUAUCCCAUCGACAGAUUCCACAGUGUACUUCAUAAUGUGUGUGUUUACCUCUCUGGGUAUGUGUCCAUGGUACCAGCCAUGGCUCCUGAUGUCAGCAGCGCUCAGUUUCAGCUCCUCCUCCAGCUCCUUCCGAAGUUUCUCAGGAGGAGACUCCAGCAGGACUAGAGUGCGACCUGCCUCCUCCCCAUUGUACCCUGGGUCUUCAUCAGCUGACCGCCCCCUUGGCCCCCUUUGGUCUCCUGUGCUCCUUCAUCACCACCACCAGUGUCUAGACUCCAUCGGGGGAUAUGUCUGGGU
Perca flavescens (yellow perch) is the source of this 491-nucleotide long non-coding RNA. RefSeq lists it as uncharacterized. The transcript is spliced from 3 exons. Lineage: Eukaryota; Metazoa; Chordata; Actinopteri; Perciformes; Percidae. The record is from RefSeq and is a predicted model, not a curated record.